Molecule: ribosomal RNA, 301 nt
Filed under: uncultured bacterium
Lineage: Bacteria
Description: partial 16S ribosomal RNA
Rfam family: Bacterial small subunit ribosomal RNA
Source: RNAcentral
CAGCAGCCGCGGUAAUACGAAGGGGGCUAGCGUUGUUCGGAAUUACUGGGCGUAAAGCGCACGUAGGCGGAUCGAUCAGUCAGGGGUGAAAUCCCAGGGCUCAACCCUGGAACUGCCUUUGAUACUGUCGAUCUGAAGUAUGGAAGAGGUGAGUGGAAUUCCGAGUGUAGAGGUGAAAUUCGUAGAUAUUCGGAGGAACACCAGUGGCGAAGGCGGCUCACUGGUCCAUUACUGACGCUGAGGUGCGAAAGCGUGGGGAGCAAACAGGAUUAGAUACCCGAGUAGUCCCUGUCUCUUAUAC